UUGUGUGUAGUGACUGUGUGUGUCAGUAUGUAUCUGUGAAUGUUUUAAUGUCUGUCUGUGUGUGUAUGUGCCAGUACGUCUGUCAGUGUGAUUGCGGGUUGGACGUAAUUGGGGGGUGAGGCAGGGACAGGGCCCACGGGGCCCAAGAAAUGCAUUGCCCACGGUCCUAAUCAUAUUAUAGACGGCCCUGGGUGUGAGAGUGCCGUGUGUGAGUGAUGGGUGUGAGAGUGCUGUGUGAG
Pelobates cultripes (western spadefoot toad) is the source of this 239-nucleotide non-coding RNA. The record is from the annotation of a GenBank genome assembly. NCBI's taxonomy places the organism in Eukaryota, Metazoa, Chordata, Amphibia, Anura, Pelobatidae.